AGGGUGUAAACGCUGCAGACUUGGUGUUGGAGGCCCUUUGGGGGCAUUCAGUGCCGGAGAGAAGUUGUUAAGUCUGCUACUUGGGGAGUACGUCCGCAAGGAUGAAACUUAAAGGAAUUGGCGGGGGGAGCACCGCAACGGGAGGAGCGUGCGGUUUAAUUGGAUUCAACACCGUAAACUCACCAGGGAAGACUGUUACAUGAAGGCCGAGAUGAAGACUCUGCUAGAUUUCAGAGAGGAGGUGCAUGGCGUCAGUGACU
Molecule: ribosomal RNA, 260 nt
Filed under: uncultured archaeon
Lineage: Archaea
Description: partial 16S ribosomal RNA
Rfam family: Archaeal small subunit ribosomal RNA
Source: RNAcentral